GACGAACGCUGGCGGCGUGCCUAAUACAUGCAAGUUGAGCGAUGAAGCUUGGUGCUUGCACCAAUUUGAAGAGCAGCGAACGGGUGAGUAACGCGUGGGGAAUCUGCCUUUGAGCGGGGGACAACAUUUGGAAACGAAUGCUAAUACCGCAUAACAACUUUAAACAUAAGUUUUAAGUUUGAAAGAUGCAAUUGCAUCACUCAAAGAUGAUCCCGCGUUGUAUUAGCUAGUUGGUGAGGUAAAGGCUCACCAAGGCGAUGAUACAUAGCCGACCUGAGAGGGUGAUCGGCCACAUUGGGACUGAGGCACGGCCCAAACUCCUACGGGAGGCAGCAGUAGGGAAUCUUCGGCAAUGGACGAAAGUCUGACCGAGCAACGCCGCGUGAGUGAAGAAGGUUUUCGGAUCGUAAAACUCUGUUGGUAGAGAAGAACGUUGGUGAGAGUGGAAAGCUCAUCAAGUGACGGUAACUACCCAGAAAGGGACGGCUAACUACGUG
RNAcentral lists this ribosomal RNA (497 nucleotides) under uncultured bacterium. RNAcentral's name for it is "partial 16S ribosomal RNA". It matches the Rfam family "Bacterial small subunit ribosomal RNA", at positions 28 to 507 of the family's 1533-position model. The record is from RNAcentral.